GGCGGCCAUUUCGGAUGAUGGAUCGGCUACAAAGUAACAAUAUUUAGUCAACACCUCAUAAGGAAUAUUCAUGCCAUGUCUGCUUUCAAUCCAUUCAGUGGUGCUCUAAAAGAAGACAUUUGUAUGUAUUAUACAUAGGGUCCUAUGUUAAACUACGUCCCCCGCUGGCGGUCAUUUUGGAAGAUGGAUCGGCUACAACGUAACAACACUUAGUCAGCACCUCAUUAGGAACAUUCCUGUCAUGUUUGGUUUCAUUCUAUUCAGUGGUUCUCUAGAAGAAGUUCAAAAUAAAAAAAAAAUAACGACGACGACGCACAACGACGGACGCCAUGGGAUAAGAAAACCCUUCGGGUCAAGUGAGCUAAAAAAAGGGGGGUAUGUUUUUUGGUUUGAUUUAUUUUCGCCAAACGCGAACCUUUGUUUUUUUUGUUUUUUU
Molecule: long non-coding RNA, 436 nt
Filed under: Mytilus galloprovincialis (Mediterranean mussel)
Lineage: Eukaryota; Metazoa; Mollusca; Bivalvia; Mytilida; Mytilidae
Source: RNAcentral